Long non-coding RNA from Bradysia coprophila, 702 nucleotides. RefSeq lists it as uncharacterized. The record is from RefSeq and is a predicted model, not a curated record. Lineage: Eukaryota; Metazoa; Arthropoda; Insecta; Diptera; Sciaridae.
GCCGAUGGAAAAUGUUCCGGGGACAAAUCAUCGUAAAUUUAUUGAGUGAAGUUCACUUCAGCAAGAAUUCCAAUUAAACAAACGUACAAUGAAAACUUUUCCAUUUUUUAUCGUUGCGGUUUUGAUUACCUGUGUGACUGCAACGUCUGACGAAAGUUCAAGCUCUACUGAAGAGAACGAUGAUAGUUUUUCUUCGUCGGACGAAAGUGUAAGCAGUUCAUCUUCCGUUGAAUCAACGGAGUGCAAAAUAAAUUACCAAUAUACAAUCUGGAUCGGUGAUAAUGUGGAGGAGAUGCAUUCUAUCAAUCUGAACUCUGAAUGUGGAAUUGUGUUUUUGAAUGCAAUGCAACAGGCAUCACAAAGGAGGGAACAAUUUAAAUUUGAAUACACCACUCAUCCACUUUUUGGAACUUUAAUAACUGAAAUAGACGGUGUGCCUAACGAUGAUGAGACGAACACGUACUGGAUGUUAUACGAUUUGACUACAGAACCGGAUGUCGCCAAUGCACCAGAUGAUAAUUUUUUGUCCACGAUGGUUGUGAGCUCACUCAAAGUUGUCGAUAAUCAUUCGUAUCUAUUUUGGUAUAAAACAUCCAAUACUGAAGCUCAUGUCGAGCAAUCGGAGGAUUUAUCAUAUUAUGAUGAUUGAAAAAUACUAAGGAACAAUAAAAUUGUCUAUGUCUAGUCGAUGAACACAUCAAA